GAGAGCGUUGCCGUGGAAAUAGAACCAACAGAUCAAGGGGACAGAACAGAGAGCUUAGAAACAGACCCACGUAGGUAGAGUAACAUGGUUCAUAACCAAGGGGGCAUUUUUAUUUUUACCGGAAAAUGGAAAAAGGAAGACGAAACUAGGGCAGACCAAUAACCCCAACGAGAAUAAUAAUCGCGAACACAUGUUAGGAGAUACCAGCCAGGCACUGUUCAAAGGCUUUAUGUGUGUAACUCACAGAAUCCUCACCCCCUCACAGUAGGUCUCACGGUAGCAAAGAUCCACAGAAGUCAGAAAACGAGCCCCAGGACACAGAACUAGCAACUGGAUCCCCAGGAUCCCAACCAAGACUCCAGACCCGUGGCAAACCCCAGGAUGUUACCUGUGCUUCUACAAAGUGGCUACAGCUUGGAGGUUUUAACAACCUCUUUGCGACUGGUUUAGAAGAAAAGAAAAACAACAAGGCCCCAAACCAAGAUUCCAUGAAAACUUUGGUUGAACACGAUCUUUAUCUCAGGAAACAUGCUGAGGAGAUGGUAUUUUACGGAAACUCAAAAACAAACGGACCCAAUUCGAAAGCGGGCAAAGGAUCCGAAUAGAUAGCUCUCUAAAAGAAGGAAAACAAAUGGCCAAUAGGCAUCUAGUCAUCAGGGAGAUGCACGUCAACACCGCAACGUAAAAGGCAGAUAAUACCAGUACUGGUGGGGACACAAAGAGAAAUCAUCACCCACUGCCGAUGGGAAGGUAAAAUGGCCCAGCCACCUUGGAAAACCGUCUAGUAGUUUCUUAAGGUAUAAUCCAGCAAUUCCACUCCUAGGGAUAUGGGCAAAAGAAAUGAAACCAUAUACCCACACAAACACUUGUACACAAACGUUUGUAAUAGCAUUAUUUAUAACAGCUCAAAAGUGGAAACAACCCAAAUGUCCAUCAACUGGGAAACAGAUGUUUUCAGCGUGGCAUAUCCAUACGAUGGUAGGUUAUUCCGCAAGAAAAAGAAAUAACGCACUGGGGUGCCUGGGUGGCUCAGUUGGUUAAGUCGCGAGUCAGACGACUCAUGAUUUGGGCUCAGGUCAUG
This is a long non-coding RNA of Felis catus (domestic cat), 1081 nucleotides long. RefSeq lists it as uncharacterized. The transcript is spliced from 4 exons. The record is from RefSeq and is a predicted model, not a curated record. Lineage: Eukaryota; Metazoa; Chordata; Mammalia; Carnivora; Felidae.